AAUGAACGCUGGCGGCGUGCUUAACACAUGCAAGUCGUACGAGAAAUCCUCUGCUUGCAGGGGAGAGUAAAGUGGCGCACGGGUGAGUAUCGCGUGGGUAAUCUACCCUUGAAUUCAGGAUAACAUUUCGAAAGGGGUGCUAAUACUGGAUAACAUCCUGAUGGUUUAGGCCAUAAGGAUCAAAGAUAGCCUCUACAUGUAAGCUAUUGUUUAGGGAUGAGCCCGCGUACCAUUAGCUAGUUGGUGGGGUAAGAGCCUACCAAGGCAACGAUGGUUAGCUGGUCUGAGAGGAUGAUCAGCCACACUGGAACUGAAACACGGUCCAGACUCCUACGGGAGGCAGCAGUGAGGAAUUUUGCGCAAUGGGGGAAACCCUGACGCAGCAACGCCGCGUGAGUGAAGAAGGCUUUCGGGUCGUAAAGCUCUGUCAAGAGGGAAGAAAGUAGGGGAUGGUAAUACUGUUUUCUAUUGACGGUACCUCUGAAGGAAGCACCGGCUAACUCCGUGCCAGCAGCCGCGGUAAUACGGGGGGUGCAAGCGUUAUUCGGAUUUAUUGGGCGUAAAGAGCGCGUAGGCGGUUUAUCAAGUCAGAUGUGAAAGCCCUGGGCUCAACCUGGGAAGUGCAUUUGAAACUAGUAGACUUGAGUAUGGGAGAGG
This 657-nucleotide ribosomal RNA is filed under the name uncultured delta proteobacterium. Its description in RNAcentral is "bacterial SSU rRNA". It matches the Rfam family "Bacterial small subunit ribosomal RNA", at positions 28 to 657 of the family's 1533-position model. Lineage: Bacteria; Deltaproteobacteria. The record is from RNAcentral.